UUCUCAGCCUGAUUGCCUUUUGCUUACUAAGAACAGCAACUGAUUUCUAUUGGACAACUGUGUAAUUGUGUGGUGGUGUAGGGAACAACCAUUAUACUCCAAUUCCUUCAUCUGGUAAACGGGAACAUGAGUGUAUGGGAAUUGCUAAGUCACAGCCUGAACCAAUGAGUGAGCACUUUGUGAAGAGACACAGCCUGCCCUGGGAACACAGGUGAAAGCAAUUCACCUGUGCCACAGAAAGGGUGGAACCAGGUUCCACCCCUAAGCCUCAUUUAAGGACUGGUUGCCACCUGGGAACACUCUCUGUCUGGCGAUCCUUUCUUCUGGGUUAUUUGGUGGGUCCUGUUCCUCAGGAUAGGUGAGCAAAUCUUUCUUUGACUGGAUUGUGACUAUCACUCUUUUUUGAGUAAUUUAGAACUGGUUGUCUGCCAUUGCCUUUCCAUACAAUUACUUCUAUUUCUCAGAGGCUCAAUUUAGAGUUUAAUAAUCGGCUAACAAAUUCACAAAGCCACUUUAAUUUCAUCUUCAGCUCUUGUGUUACUCUCCUUCCUGAACUCAAUAGCGGCAUCACAAGAUAAAAUGGGAUGUGCCCUACCAGCCCCUAUGAUAUCAGCUGUCGAGGAGAACAAGAACUGACCUGUUUCUGCGUUCAUGGAGACAUAACCAGUGUAAAUAUGGUCCCAUUGUCCUGGCCCUCCAGGAUUGUUAGAAGUGUCUCUUCAAAAAAUGCUGGAUUGGGAUUGGAGUCAAAACAAGGAAUGGACAGUUUGGGAAUAUGUAACACAGGAAAUAAAUUCAAUAGGAUUAUUAUUAUAGUUCCAACAUUUUUAUUACUCUCCUAA
RNAcentral lists this long non-coding RNA (842 nucleotides) under Numida meleagris (helmeted guineafowl). RNAcentral describes it as "lncRNA (ENSNMEG00000010507.1)". The record is from RNAcentral. Lineage: Eukaryota; Metazoa; Chordata; Aves; Galliformes; Numididae.